CUCUUCUUGAAUAUAUUUUGAUGUAUGGCCUGCCCACUGAAUAUUGAAGGGCCGCGGUAUUUUGACCGUGCAAAGGUAGCAUAAUCAUUAGUCUUUUAAUUGUAGGCUGGAAUGAAUGGUUUGACGAGGUGUAAACUGUCUUUAAUUUAUUUAUUGAAUUUAAAUUUUAGGUUAAAAUGCCUAAAUAUUUUUUUGGGACGAGAAGACCCUAUAGAGUUUAUAUAUAUUUUUAUUUUUUUGUAUGAUAUUUUUUUAAUUUGAAAAUUUAUUUUGUUGGGGUGAUGGAAAGAUUUAAUUAACUCUUUUUAUUUUUUUUAUAUUUAUUUAUAUAUAUUUGAUCCAUUUUUGUUGAUUAUAAGACUAAAUUACCUUAGGGAUAACAGCGUAAUUCUUUUUGAGAGUUCUUAUUGACAAAAGAUUUUGCGACCUCGAUGUUGGAUUAAGAUUAAUUUUUGGUGUAGGUGCUAUUAUAUUAGGUCUGUUCGACCUUUAAAAUCUUACA
This 502-nucleotide ribosomal RNA is filed under the name Cryptocercus kyebangensis. RNAcentral's name for it is "partial 16S ribosomal RNA". It matches the Rfam family "Bacterial large subunit ribosomal RNA", at positions 1829 to 2600 of the family's 2925-position model. The record is from RNAcentral. Lineage: Eukaryota; Metazoa; Arthropoda; Insecta; Blattodea; Cryptocercidae.